UUCAAGGAAAUAAGGGCUUAAGGUGAAUACCUUGGCAUUCAGAAGCGAAGAAGGACGUGGUUACCGGCGAAACGCCUCGGGGAGUUGGAAACAAGCUUUGAUCCGGGGGUAUCCGAAUGAGGCAACUCUUUAAAACUUCUUGUUGAAUCUAUAGGCAAGAAAGAGCGAACCUGGAGAAUUGAAACAUCUUAGUAACCAGAGGAAUAGAAAGUAAAAACGAUUCUCUUAGUAGCGGCGAGCGAAAUGGGAACAGCCUAAACUUUUCAAAAUAAUAAAUAAAUAAUGAAAAGGGUAGUGGGACUAAACAGUAAAUAAAGAUAAAAAACAGCUAGGAGAAUAAACUGGAAAGUUUAACCGAAGAAAGUGAUAGUCUUGUAACCGAAAGCUCUGUUUUCUCUUAAGUUUUUUCCCAAGUAGCAUGAGGCACGUGGAAUCUCGUGUGAAUCUGCGAGGACCACCUCGUAAGGCUAAAUAUUCCUGAAUGACCGAUAGUGAACUAGUACCGUGAGGGAGAGGUGAAAAGAACCCCGGGAGGGGAGUGAAAUAGAACAUGAAACCUUAAGCUUACAAGCAGUAGGAGGACGACUUAUCGUUUGACUGCGUGCCUGUUGAAGAAUGAGCCGGCGACUUAUAGUUAGUGGCAGGUUAAGGUAGAGAAUACUGGAGCCACAGUGAAAGCGAGCUUUAAUAGAGCGUGUGUCACUAGUUAUAGACCCGAACCCGGAUGAUCUAACCAUGGCCAGGAUGAAGCCUAGGUAAUACUAUGUGGAGGUCCGAACCGACUGAUGUUGAAAAAUCAGCGGAUGAGUUGUGGUUAGGGGUGAAAUACCAAUCGAAUUCGGAGCUAGCUGGUUCUCCCCGAAAUGUGUUUAGGCGCAGCGGUCAAUAUUAUAGCUUAGAGGUAAAGCACUGUUUCGGUGCGGGCUGGUAAUUCGGUACCAAAUCGAGGCAAACUCUGAAUNNUAAGUGAACAGUUAACCAGUAAGACUGUGGGGGAUAAGCUUCAUAGUCAAGAGGGAAACAGCCCAGAUCACCAGUUAAGGCCCCUAAAUAAUUAUUAAGUGGUAAAGGAGGUGGGAAGACUCAGACAGCCAGGAGGUUUGCUUAGAAGCAGCAAUCCUUUAAAGAGUGCGUAAUAGCUCACUGGUCUAGUAAUCCUGCGCCGAAAAUGAACGGGACUUAAAUAAUUUGCCGAAGCUGUGAGAUAUUUAUUACAAGUAAAUAUCGGUAGGGGAGCGUUCUGUUGUAGGUUGAAGCAUUAACGUAAGUGGGUGNGNACGAAGCAGAAGUGAGAAUGUCGGCUUGAGUAGCGAAAACAUUGGUGAGAAUCC
Molecule: ribosomal RNA, 1331 nt
Filed under: Heterosigma akashiwo
Lineage: Eukaryota; Raphidophyceae; Chattonellales; Chattonellaceae
Description: bacterial LSU rRNA
Rfam family: Bacterial large subunit ribosomal RNA
Source: RNAcentral